Terrapene triunguis (Three-toed box turtle) is the source of this 295-nucleotide long non-coding RNA. RefSeq lists it as uncharacterized. The transcript has 3 exons. The record is from RefSeq and is a predicted model, not a curated record. NCBI's taxonomy places the organism in Eukaryota, Metazoa, Chordata, Testudines, Emydidae.
UGAGUUGGAGCAGACCCAUGAGAUCUUCCGCCAGUACCAAGACCCAUGCCGAGUGGGGCCCAGGCAGGACCAGCCCUGGGCCAUAGGCACCCUGCUGAACUACCUGGAGAUCCACGAGGAGGCCGUGUCGACCCCAGAGAAGCUGAAAAGGACCCUGGAGCAAGAGGAAGGCAGGCGGACGUACCUGGCGGGUCCCAUCCUGCGGGACGGCCGCCCCGACCCCUCGGCAGCAGGGAGCCCCUGGGAAGGGCGCCGCAUCGACUACAUCCUGUACCGCGAGCACCCCGCCCCCAUC